UGAUAGUCUUAUAACCAGGAGAUUGAGGCAACCAAUUCUAUCCUUUAGCUAUUAUUAGACUGUAGCUCUUGUCCAUUCAUGUCAUAUAUGUUUUCUCCACCGCUUGGACUAUUUUAGUAGUUGGUUCUUAUUAAUAUCUCCUUCUGUUUGUGCAUGUAUAAAGCAUGCUUAGUUUUCAAAAGAACUUCAAAAAGUUAUCAUCUUUGCUUUCUUAUGGAGCCAAAUAGGGAAUGAUAUCUAGUAUCUAGAUGGAUAAGAAAUGUAUAAAAAUAUUUCUAUAAUUAUAAUAGUAAUAUUAAUUAUAUUACUGCUCUUAGGCAAUGUUGACAACGGUGCAAGGUGCACUCUAGGCACUAGAACUGUUAUAUUGCCUGAUCUAAUUUUUCUACAAAACAUGCAAUCUUUUUGUCGAUCAGUAUGCAUUUUUCCUUAUGGAGAGUUUGAUACCACGAUAUUCUACUAGUAAGGUACAUCUAAUGAAGAAAGUGAACUAAAAGAAACAGAAGAAAACAUCGAGGCAGGUUUUUUUUAUGCUUAUUGCCUUACAAAAAUCAUGCUUGGUUGUGCCAGGCAUGCUGCAUGCGCUUGAUCAAAUGCACCCAACCUGAAAGGGUGUGAGGAAUUGUUUGUCUAGCACUAAGGUCCUAGGUGCAGGUGCACUUAGGUGCACAUCUUGACAACACUGAUGAUAGGAUUAACUUAAAGAAAAUAAUGG
Hibiscus syriacus is the source of this 715-nucleotide long non-coding RNA. RefSeq lists it as uncharacterized. NCBI's taxonomy places the organism in Eukaryota, Viridiplantae, Streptophyta, Magnoliopsida, Malvales, Malvaceae. The transcript has 2 exons. The record is from RefSeq and is a predicted model, not a curated record.